GUGCCAGCCGCCGCGGUAAUACGGAGGGUCCGAGCGUUAUCCGGAAUCAUUGGGUUUAAAGGGUCCGCAGGCGGUCAAUUAAGUCAGAGGUGAAAUCCCAUAGCUCAACUAUGGAACUGCCUUUGAUACUGGUUGACUUGAGUCAUAUGGAAGUAGAUAGAAUGUGUAGUGUAGCGGUGAAAUGCAUAGAUAUUACACAGAAUACCGAUUGCGAAGGCAGUCUACUACGUAUGUACUGACGCUGAGGGACGAAAGCGUGGGGAGCGAACAGGAUUAGAUACCCUGGUAGUCCACGCCGUAAACGAUGGAUACUAGUUGUUGGGCAUUAGCUCAGUGACUAAGCGAAAGUGAUAAGUAUCCCACCUGGGGAGUACGGUCGCAAGACUGAAACUCAAAGGAAUUGACGGGGGCCCGCACAAGCGGUGGAGCAUGUGGUUUAAUUCGAUGAUACGCGAGGAACCUUACCAGGGCUUAAAUGUAGUCUGACAGCUUUAGAGAUAGAGUUUUCUUCGGACAGAUUACAAGGUGCUGCAUGGUUGUCGUCAGCUCGUGCCGUGAGGUGUCAGGUUAAGUCCUAUAACGAGCGCAACCCCUGUCAUUAGUUGCCAGCAUGUAAAGAUGGGGACUCUAAUGAGACUGCCUACGCAAGUAGUGAGGGAGGUGGGGAUGACGUCAAAUCAUCACGGCCCUUACGUCCUGGGCCACACACGUGCUACAAUGGUAUGGACA
Molecule: ribosomal RNA, 729 nt
Filed under: uncultured bacterium
Lineage: Bacteria
Description: SSU rRNA
Rfam family: Bacterial small subunit ribosomal RNA
Source: RNAcentral